Molecule: ribosomal RNA, 428 nt
Filed under: uncultured Anaplasma sp.
Lineage: Bacteria; Pseudomonadati; Pseudomonadota; Alphaproteobacteria; Rickettsiales; Anaplasmataceae
Description: bacterial SSU rRNA
Rfam family: Bacterial small subunit ribosomal RNA
Source: RNAcentral
AGAGUUUGAUCCUGGCUCAGAACGAACGCUGGCGGCAAGCUUAACACAUGCAAGUCGAACGGACCGUAUACGCAGCUUGCUGCGUGUAUGGUUAGUGGCAGACGGGUGAGUAAUGCAUAGGAAUCUACCUAGUAGUAUGGGAUAGCCACUAGAAAUGGUGGGUAAUACUGUAUAAUCCCUGCGGGGGAAAGAUUUAUCGCUAUUAGAUGAGCCUAUGUCAGAUUAGCUAGUUGGUGGGGUAAUGGCCUACCAAGGCGGUGAUCUGUAGCUGGUCUGAGAGGAUGAUCAGCCACACUGGAACUGAGACACGGUCCAGACUCCUACGGGAGGCAGCAGUGGGGAAUAUUGGACAAUGGGCGCAAGCCUGAUCCAGCUAUGCCGCGUGAGUGAGGAAGGCCUUAGGGUUGUAAAACUCUCAGUAGGGAAGA